RNAcentral lists this ribosomal RNA (253 nucleotides) under uncultured bacterium. RNAcentral describes it as "partial 16S ribosomal RNA". It matches the Rfam family "Bacterial small subunit ribosomal RNA", at positions 524 to 776 of the family's 1533-position model. The record is from RNAcentral.
UACGUAGGGGGCAAGCGUUGUCCGGAUUUAUUGGGCGUAAAGAGCGUGUAGGCGGCCAGACAGGUCAGCUGUGAAAACUCGAGGCUCAACCUCGAGACGUCGGUUGAAACCGUCUGGCUAGAGUCCGGGAGAGGAGAGUGGAAUUCCUGGUGUAGCGGUGAAAUGCGCAGAUAUCAGGAAGAACACCCGUGGCGAAAGCGGCUCUCUGGAACGGUACUGACGCUGAGACGCGAAAGCGUGGGGAGCGAACAGG